This 72-nucleotide transfer RNA is filed under the name Nanobdellota archaeon. Its description in RNAcentral is "tRNA-Gly". It matches the Rfam family "tRNA". Rfam says of the family: Transfer RNA (tRNA) molecules are approximately 80 nucleotides in length. Their secondary structure includes four short double-helical elements and three loops (D, anti-codon, and T loops). The record is from RNAcentral. Lineage: Archaea; Nanobdellati; Nanobdellota. RNAcentral also lists the same sequence under 1 other name.
GCGGUAGUAGUAUAGUGGUUAGUAUACGGCCUUGCCAAGGCUGUGACCGGGGUUCGACUCCCCGCUACCGCA